AUUGAACGCUGGCGGCAGGCCUAACACAUGCAAGUCGAGCGGAGCGGCGGACGGGUGAGUAAUGCCUAGGAAUCUGCCUGGUAGUGGGGGAUACCGUCAGGAAACGGGCGCUAAUACCGCAUACUAUCAGAUGAGCCUAGGUCGGAGUAGAUAGUUGGUGGGGUAAAGGCCUACCAAGGCGACGAUCCGUAACUGGUCUGAGAGGAUGAUCAGUCACACUGGAACUGAGACCCGGUCCAGACUCCGACGGGAGUCAGCAGUGGGGAAUAUUUGACAAUGGGCGAAAGCCUGAUCCAGCCAUGCCGCGUGUGUUAAGAAGGUCUUCGGAUUGUAAAGCACUUUAAGUUGGGAGGCGUUACCAACAGAAUAAGCACCGGCUAACUUCGUGCCAGCCGCCGCGGUAAUUC
Molecule: ribosomal RNA, 407 nt
Filed under: uncultured bacterium
Lineage: Bacteria
Description: partial 16S ribosomal RNA
Rfam family: Bacterial small subunit ribosomal RNA
Source: RNAcentral